AUAAGCGGAGGAAAAGAAACCAACAGGGAUUGCCCUAGUAACGGCGAGUGAAGCGGCAACAGCUCAAAUUUGAAAUCUGGCUCUCUUUGGGGGUCCGAGUUGUAAUUUGCAGAGGAUGCUUUGGCAUUGGCGGCGGUCUAAGUUCCUUGGAACAGGACAUCGCAGAGGGUGAGAAUCCCGUACGUGGGCGCCUGCCUUUGCCGUGUAAAGCUCCUUCGACGAGUCGAGUUGUUUGGGAAUGCAGCUCUAAAUGGGAGGUAAAUUUCUUCUAAAGCUAAAUACCGGCCAGAGACCGAUAGCGCACAAGUAGAGUGAUCGAAAGAUGAAAAGUACUUUGGAAAGAGAGUCAAAAAGCACGUGAAAUUGUUGAAAGGGAAGCGCUUGCAGCCAGACUUGCCCGCAGUUGCUCACCUAGGCUUUGGCCUGGGGCACUCUUCUGCGGGCAGGCCAGCAUCAGUUUGGGCGGUCGGACAAAGGCCUCUGUCAAGUAUCUCCCUUCGGGGUGACCUUAUAGGGGAGGCGUAAUGCGACCAGCCCGGACUGAGGUCCGCGCAUCUGCUAGGAUGCUGGCGUAAUGGCUGUAAGCGGCCCGUCUUGAAACACGGACCAAGGAGUCUAACAUCUAUGCGAGUGUUUGGGUGUCAAGCCCGGGCGCGCAAUGAAAGUGAACGGAGGUGGGAACCCUUUGGGUGCACCAUCGACCGAUCCUGAUGUCUUCGGAUGGAUUUGAGUAAGAGCAUAGCUGUUGGGACCCGAAAGAUGGUGAACUAUGCUUGAAUAGGGUGAAGCCAGAGGAAACUCUGGUGGAGGCUCGCAGCGGUUCUGACGUGCAAAUCGAUCGUCAAAUUUGGGCAUAGGGGCGAAAGACUAAUC
Molecule: ribosomal RNA, 873 nt
Filed under: Paraconiothyrium estuarinum
Lineage: Eukaryota; Fungi; Ascomycota; Dothideomycetes; Pleosporales; Didymosphaeriaceae
Also listed under: 1 other name
Description: LSU rRNA
Rfam family: Eukaryotic large subunit ribosomal RNA
Source: RNAcentral